GCUUCAGUGGCCUAUUGGUUAGAGCGUCUGCCUUGGAUGCGGGAGGUCGCAGGUUCAAAUUCCGGUCGAGUU
Molecule: non-coding RNA, 72 nt
Organism: Potamilus streckersoni
Lineage: Eukaryota; Metazoa; Mollusca; Bivalvia; Unionida; Unionidae
Source: the annotation of a GenBank genome assembly